This 279-nucleotide long non-coding RNA is filed under the name Setaria viridis. RNAcentral describes it as "long non-coding RNA (SVIR_LNC006903)". Lineage: Eukaryota; Viridiplantae; Streptophyta; Magnoliopsida; Poales; Poaceae. The record is from RNAcentral.
CAUUUUUCAAGUUUUAUACAUUUAAUAAUGUUUUAAGUAUUUAUUUAAAUACCUUAAAUAAAAAGGCAUUAAAUAAAUACCUAAAUUUUUAUUAUUUUUCCUAGGGUUUAAGAAUUUUAAUGCAUAAAGGAAAAUAAAACAAUCCUAAUAAAAUUGGUUUCACUAAUUUUGGGCACUUCUAGAAAUUUCUGUGAUUUAAAUGGUGAAAACCGCAUUUAAUCUAUUUAUCUAAUAAAAGAAAACCUAAGGUUUAUUUAUAAACCCCCGGCCCAAACUUUU